RNAcentral lists this ribosomal RNA (1233 nucleotides) under metagenome. RNAcentral's name for it is "bacterial LSU rRNA". It matches the Rfam family "Bacterial large subunit ribosomal RNA", at positions 1564 to 2808 of the family's 2925-position model. The record is from RNAcentral.
UGAAUACGAGACGCUACGGCGUCGAAGCAGUCUAUGUCAUACCUCCAAGAAAAGCUCGCAAUGUCAUAAACAAAUAAUGCCUGUACCAUAACCGACACAGGUGGGUAGGUAGAGUAUACUAAGGGGCGCGAGAUAACUCUCUCUAAGGAACUCGGCAAAAUGACUCCGUAACUUCGGGAGAAGGAGUGCCUUAUUUAUAAGGUUGCAAUAACAAGAUCCAAGCAACUGUUUAUCAAAAACACAGGUCUCCGCUAAGUCGUAAGACGAUGUAUGGGGGCUGACGCCUGCCCAGUGCCAGAAGGUUAAAGAAGUUGGUUAGCAUUCGCGAAGCUGAUAACUGAAGCCCUGGUGAACGGCGGCCGUAACGAUAACGGUCCUAAGGUAGCGAAAUUCCUUGUCGGGUAAGUUCCGACCCGCACGAAAGGCGUAAUGAUUUGGAUACUGUCUCGGAGAGGGGCUCGGUGAAAUAGACUUGUCUGUGAAGAUGCGGACUACCUGCACCUGGACAGAAAGACCCUAUGAAGCUUUACUGUAACUUGAAAUUGAAAUUGGACUUUAUUUGCGCAGCAUAGGUGGGAGGCGUUGAGAGUAUUCUUGCGGGAAUAUUGGAGCCAUCAGUGAGAUACCACUCUUGUAAUGUUAGAUUUCUAACUUUGGAUCAUUAUCUGGUCAAAGAACAGUUUCAGGCGGGCAGUUUGACUGGGGCGGUCGCCUCCCAAAUGGUAACGGAGGCGUACAAAGGUUUCCUCUGAACGGGUAGAAAUCGUAUCUAGAGUGUAAAGGCAUAAGGAAGCUUGACUGUAGACCUACAAGUCGAGCAGGGACGAAAGUCGGUCUUAGUGAUCUGACGGUGCUGAGUGGAAAGGCCGUCACUCAACGGAUAAAAGUUACUCUAGGAUAACAGGCUGAUCUCCCCCAAGAGUUCACAUCGACGGGGAGGUUUGGCACCUCGAUGUCGGCUCAUCGCAUCCUGGGGCGGUAGUACGUCCCAAGGGUUGGGCUGUUCGCCCAUGAAAGCGGUACGCGAGCUGGGUUCAGAACGUCGUGAGACAGUUCGGUCCAUAUCCGGUGUAGGCGUUAGAAUAUUGAGAGGAGCCUUCUUUAGUACGAGAGGACCGAGAAGGACAUACCUCUGGUGUACCAGUUAUCGUGCCAACGGUAAACGCUGGGUAGCUAUGUAUGGAGAGGAUAACCGCUGAAAGCAUCUAAGUGGGAAGCCCACCUCAAGAUAAG